GAUGAACGCUGGCGGUAUGCUUAACACAUGCAAGUCGAACGGGGACCUUCGGGUCCUAGUGGCGGACGGGUGAGUAACGCGUGAGGACAUGCCUUUUAGAUUGGGGACAAACAGAUGGAAACGUCUGCUAAUACCGAAUAUGCCCUUUGGGGUGAAAGAUUUAUCGUCUAGAGAUUGGCUCGCGUCAGAUUAGCUAGUUGGAGUGGUAAUGGCGCACCAAGGCGACGAUCUGUACUUGGUCUGAGAGGAUGACCAGGCACACUGGAACUGAGACACGGUCCAGACUCCUACGGGAGGCAGCAGUGGGGGAAAGUUUCCGCAAUGGGCGCAAGCCUGACGGAGCAAGACCGCGUGAGGGAAGAAGGCUCUUGGGGUUGUAAACCUCUUUUUCUCUGGGAAGAACAAAAUGACGGUACCAGAGGAAUCAGCAUCGGCUAACUCCGUGCCAGCAGCCGCGGUAAU
This 462-nucleotide ribosomal RNA is filed under the name uncultured cyanobacterium. RNAcentral describes it as "bacterial SSU rRNA". It matches the Rfam family "Bacterial small subunit ribosomal RNA", at positions 28 to 524 of the family's 1533-position model. Lineage: Bacteria; Bacillati; Cyanobacteriota. The record is from RNAcentral.